CCUACGGGAGGCAGCAGUGGGGAAUAUUGCACAAUGGGCGCAAGCCUGAUGCAGCGACGCCGCGUGAGCGAAGAAGUAUUUCGGUAUGUAAAGCUCUAUCAGCAGGGAAGAAAAUGACGGUACCUGACUAAGAAGCUCCGGCUAAAUACGUGCCAGCAGCCGCGGUAAUACGUAUGGAGCAAGCGUUAUCCGGAAUUACUGGGUGUAAAGGGAGCGUAGACGGAUGUGCAAGUCUGAUGUGAAAGGCGGGGGCUCAACCCCUGGACUGCAUUGGAAACUGUAAAUCUUGAGUGCCGGAGAGGUAAGCGGAAUUCCUAGUGUAGCGGUGAAAUGCGUAGAUAUUAGGAGGAACACCAGUGGCGAAGGCGGCUUACUGGACGGUAACUGACGUUGAGGCUCGAAAGCGUGGGGAGCAAACAGGAUUAGAUACCCUUGUA
RNAcentral lists this ribosomal RNA (437 nucleotides) under uncultured bacterium. Its description in RNAcentral is "bacterial SSU rRNA". It matches the Rfam family "Bacterial small subunit ribosomal RNA", at positions 338 to 792 of the family's 1533-position model. The record is from RNAcentral.